GCUGACUAAGAGAUGGGCCCAAUUUAAACACAAAUAAAUAACGACUUGACAUUUGAAGUGCAUCGCCAUCGCAGCAAAGCCCCAGCACCUGCAUCUGGAUAUCAAAAGCCAGCAAGAAAACCACAACACUAAAAAUCCACUCAUUUAUUCUAUUGGGUGUAGAGAAUGAUUAUGAGUUUUGCCUAAUCUGAACACAAAUGUAAACGCAAAAUAAUUAU
RNAcentral lists this small RNA (218 nucleotides) under Drosophila pseudoobscura pseudoobscura. RNAcentral's name for it is "GA30947". Lineage: Eukaryota; Metazoa; Arthropoda; Insecta; Diptera; Drosophilidae. The record is from RNAcentral.